This 253-nucleotide ribosomal RNA is filed under the name uncultured prokaryote. Its description in RNAcentral is "partial 16S ribosomal RNA". It matches the Rfam family "Bacterial small subunit ribosomal RNA", at positions 525 to 777 of the family's 1533-position model. The record is from RNAcentral.
ACGUAGGUGGCGAGCGUUGUCCGGAUUUACUGGGCGUAAAGGGCGUGCAGGCGGUUUGUUAAGUCUAGGGUGAAAGCUCCCGGCUCAACUGGGAGAGGUCCUUGGAUACUGACAGACUUGAGGGAGGCAGAGGAGAAUGGAAUUCCCGGUGUAGUGGUGAUAUGCGUAGAUAUCGGGAGGAACACCAGUGGCGAAGGCGGUUCUCUGGGCCUUACCUGACGCUGAGACGCGAAAGCGUGGGGAGCGAACCGGA